UAGUUCAGUUGUGAGUUGCUCACUCAGAAGUGCAGUCACAGUCUUUUCACUCGGUGAAAUGUUGGCCCACAUAUGCCUUCACAUGACCAUCUGACCCGGAAGCUUGAGCGCAGUUCAAAAAGCCGAAAAAAACAGCAGGCGAAAACAGCCAAUUUUUAUGCUCCCGUCUUAAUCUGCUGCUGGUCUACCAGGCGAACACGUUUUCACGGUGUUCCACGAUAGUUCAGGGAGGAAUAAACGUGAAUGUGGACAUCAGUAUGAAGCGUGGACUCUUUCAUGACCAGUGUAGUUUCUGUAUUGUUUUCUGUUUA
This is a long non-coding RNA of Megalops cyprinoides (Indo-Pacific tarpon), 311 nucleotides long. RefSeq lists it as uncharacterized. The record is from RefSeq and is a predicted model, not a curated record. The transcript is spliced from 3 exons. NCBI's taxonomy places the organism in Eukaryota, Metazoa, Chordata, Actinopteri, Elopiformes, Megalopidae.